Molecule: ribosomal RNA, 446 nt
Filed under: uncultured bacterium
Lineage: Bacteria
Description: partial 16S ribosomal RNA
Rfam family: Bacterial small subunit ribosomal RNA
Source: RNAcentral
UCCAGACUCCUACGGGAGGCAGCAGUGGGGGAUAUUGCACAAUGGGGGGAACCCUGAUGCAGCGACGCCGCGUGGGUGGAGGAGCGUUUCGGCGCGUAAAGCCCUAUCGGCAGGGAAGAAGGAGGACGGUACCUGACUAAGAAGCCCCGGCUAACUACGUGCCAGCAGCCGCGGUAAUACGUAGGGGGCAAGCGUUAUCCGGAUUUACUGGGUGUAAAGGGAGCGCAGACGGCAGUGCAAGUCUGGAGUGAAAGCCCGGGGCCCAACCCCGGAACUGCUCUGGAAACUGUGCGGCUAGAGUACUGGAGGGGCAGGCGGAAUUCCUAGUGUAGCGGUGAAAUGCGUAGAUAUUAGGAGGAACACCAGUGGCGAAGGCGACCUGCUGGACAGUAACUGACGUUGAGGCUCGAAAGCGUGGGGAGCAAACAGGAUUAGAUACCCGGGUA